UGGGUAGAAGAAUUAUAUCCGAUCUUAUGGGCAUGUCGAACGACUCUUCGCAUACCGACUGAGGAAUCCUCCUUCAACUUAGCUUAUGGGAUAAAAGCAAUGAUACUGUUUGAGAUUGAAUUGCCAUCAACAAGAGUGGAGCAAUAUAGUGAGCCGAGCAACUCCGAAUGUCGGAGAGCCGACUUAUAUCUCCUUCCAGAACUCCGACAGCAAGCUCAAGUUCGGAUGGCUGUAUAGCGACAAAGGAUAGCUC
This 253-nucleotide long non-coding RNA is filed under the name Elaeis guineensis (African oil palm). RNAcentral describes it as "long non-coding RNA (EGUI_LNC030471)". The record is from RNAcentral. Lineage: Eukaryota; Viridiplantae; Streptophyta; Magnoliopsida; Arecales; Arecaceae.